Molecule: ribosomal RNA, 269 nt
Filed under: uncultured bacterium
Lineage: Bacteria
Description: partial 16S ribosomal RNA
Rfam family: Bacterial small subunit ribosomal RNA
Source: RNAcentral
UACGUAGGGAGCAAGCGUUGUUCGGAAUUAUUGGGCGUAAAGAGCGCGUAGGCGGUUCGGUAAGUCUGACGUGAAAUCCCGGAGCUCAACUCCGGAACUGCGUUGGAUACUGCCGGGCUUGAGUGUGGGAGAGGAGAGUGGAAUUCCCAGUGUAGAGGUGAAAUUCGUAGAUAUUAGGAGGAACACCGGUGGCGAAGGCGGCUACCUGGACCGAUAUUGACGCUGAGACGCGAAAGCGUGGGUAGCAAACAGGAUUAGAAACCCCGGUA